This is an RNA transcript of Salvia splendens (bonfire salvia), 1130 nucleotides long. It is a transcript of the gene named nuclear transcription factor Y subunit C-1-like, with no coding region annotated. The transcript is spliced from 3 exons. The record is from RefSeq and is a predicted model, not a curated record. NCBI's taxonomy places the organism in Eukaryota, Viridiplantae, Streptophyta, Magnoliopsida, Lamiales, Lamiaceae.
AAACACUAUCCCCACUCCCUUUCAAUCGUAGUCAUUGUACCACUCGCAUCAGGAAAUGUACAUCCACUUGGACGAAGAAAAUUCCUCCCAUGAAUACAUCUCCCCUUUCCAUUGUUAAAUCCAAUUAAAAAGAAGAAGAAGAAGAAAUUCCCAAUCUGAAAGAGGGAAAAUGGAAAACAACCCGCAGCAGAACGGCGCGCCGCCGGUGGGGUACCCGUCGCAGGCGCCGUACCAGCACCUCCUACAGCAGCAGCAGCAGCAAUUGCAGAUGUUCUGGUCGUACCAGCGGCAGGAGAUCGAGGGGGUGAACGAUUUCAAAAACCACCAGCUUCCCCUGGCGCGGAUUAAGAAGAUCAUGAAGGCCGACGAGGACGUCCGCAUGAUCUCCGCGGAGGCGCCGAUCCUCUUCGCCAAGGCCUGCGAGCUCUUCAUCCUCGAGCUCACCAUCCGCUCCUGGCUCCACGCCGAGGAGAACAAGCGCCGCACCCUCCAGAAGAACGACAUCGCCGCCGCCAUCACCCGCACCGACAUCUUCGACUUCCUCGUCGACAUUGUUCCCAGGGACGAGAUUAAGGAUGACUGCGCCGCGCUUGUUGCCUCCCCUGCUGGAGUCACCGGUGUGCCCUACUUCUAUCCGCCCAUGGGGCAGCCCGUCGAUCCUGCGGUCUACGCGCAGCCGCCGUCGCAGGCGUGGCAGUCGGUGUGGCAAACGGGGCCUGAGGAUGCGUCGUACCGGAGUGGUGGUGGUGCCAGUGGAAACCUCGACGGUUGAGGGAACUGAUACUCACAUAGAAGAAGGAUGUGGCCGUGGGUGGAUCGACCUUACAUAGUAAACAUGAGUUAUAAAACCUGCAAUUGUUGUGGCCCAUUCACCAUAUCAAAUUGAAACAAGUGAUGAUGAAGUGGUGAAGUCAGGAAUUUGAUUUUCAUCUAUGAUGGGUUGAAUUCUUGGUGAGGAUAAGGUGAAAGAAGAUGUAUUGUUGGUUGUAGGAAUUUGUAUAAAACUUGAUAUCUUGCCUACUAAUGCCAUCAAAAAGCAUGUGCAGAAUGUUUCCAGUGAUUUUCAUCGAUACACAUACACUCAGCUGAUUCUUAUUUUUUUUGGUUAAAAGUCGCCACUUUUCUCUACC